This 286-nucleotide long non-coding RNA is filed under the name Anas platyrhynchos platyrhynchos (common mallard). RNAcentral describes it as "lncRNA (ENSAPLG00000026597.1)". Lineage: Eukaryota; Metazoa; Chordata; Aves; Anseriformes; Anatidae. The record is from RNAcentral.
UUCUGGAGGGCGUCACCAUCCCUGGUGAUGCACGGCUGGCUCUGCUGUUCACUCCUCGGGGAAGAUGCGGUUUGGGAAGUGCUCAUCGAUUGAUGGCUUAGACUGGGGGACACCACAAAACAGCAGCAGAGGAGGCCAGGGAACCUGGCAGAAUUCCGUGGGCAGCCUCCACCAAGCACAAAAGCAAUCCUUCACAAUACUCAGGGAGAACAGGCAGACAAACCAGCAGAUGUCUGUGUGCAGAUGGACAUUGCCCACCACACCUUCUUACCUCUUCCUUCUCUGA